CAUGAAGCUGGAAUCGCUAGUAAUCGCAGGUCAGCAUACUGCGGUGAAUACGUUCCCGGGUCUUGUACACACCGCCCGUCACACCAUGGGAGCCGGAAAUGCCCGAAGCCAGUGACCCAACCUUAGGGAGGGAGCUGUCGAAGGUGGAGCCGGUAACUGGGGUGAAGUCGUAACAAGGUAGC
Molecule: ribosomal RNA, 182 nt
Filed under: uncultured bacterium
Lineage: Bacteria
Description: partial 16S ribosomal RNA
Rfam family: Bacterial small subunit ribosomal RNA
Source: RNAcentral